UAAAUUUAGAGUUUGAUCCUGGCUCAGGACGAACGCUGGCGGCGUGCUUAACACAUGCAAGUCGAGCGAUGAAGCUUCCUUCGGGAAGUGGAUUAGCGGCGGACGGGUGAGUAACACGUGGGUAACCUACCUCAAAGUGGGGGAUAGCCUUCCGAAAGGAAGAUUAAUACCGCAUAAUAUGAGAGAAUCGCAUGAUUUUUUUAUCAAAGAUUUAU
This 215-nucleotide ribosomal RNA is filed under the name Clostridium botulinum. RNAcentral's name for it is "partial 16S ribosomal RNA". It matches the Rfam family "Bacterial small subunit ribosomal RNA", at positions 1 to 212 of the family's 1533-position model. The record is from RNAcentral. Lineage: Bacteria; Bacillati; Bacillota; Clostridia; Eubacteriales; Clostridiaceae.